Molecule: microRNA precursor, 109 nt
Filed under: Dasypus novemcinctus (nine-banded armadillo)
Lineage: Eukaryota; Metazoa; Chordata; Mammalia; Cingulata; Dasypodidae
Description: microRNA 92a-2 (ENSDNOG00000027602.1)
Rfam family: mir-92 microRNA precursor family (bases 14-94)
About the family: This family represents the microRNA precursor mir-92. Human miR-92 has two predicted hairpin precursor sequences: mir-92-1 on chromosome 13 and mir-92-2 on chromosome X. miR-92 has also been cloned from mouse embryonic stem cells.
Source: RNAcentral
AGCAUUUGUACCCAUUCAUCCAUGGGUGGGGAUUUGUUGCAUUACUUGUGCUUAUAUAUAAAGUAUUGCACUUGUCCCGGCCUGUGGAAGAAACGAGGAUUUUAUCGUC